This 482-nucleotide ribosomal RNA is filed under the name uncultured bacterium. Its description in RNAcentral is "partial 16S ribosomal RNA". It matches the Rfam family "Bacterial small subunit ribosomal RNA", at positions 29 to 507 of the family's 1533-position model. The record is from RNAcentral.
AUUGAACGCUGGCGGCAUGCCUUACACAUGCAAGUCGAACGGUAACGGGCCUUCGGGUGGCGACGAGGGGCGGACGGGGGCGUAAUACAUCGGAACGUACCCGAACGUGGGGUAUAACGAGGCAAAACGUUGGGUAAUACCCGCUACUAUCGACGGCGGACAGCGGGGGACCGCAAGGCCUCUCGCGGACUUGGGCGCCGAUGUCAGAUUAGGUAGUUGGUGGGAUAAAGGCGGACCAAGGCGACGCUCGGUAGCUGGUCUGAGAGGAUGAUCAGCCACACUGGAACUGAGACACGGCCCAGACUCCUACGGGAGGCAGCAGUGGGGAAUAUUGGACAAUGGGCGCAAGCCUGAUCCAGCCAUGCCGCGUGGAGGAUGAAGGCCUUCGGGUUGUAAACUGCUUUUGUACGGAAAGAAAAGCAUUAUUUUAAUACAGGGGGGUCAUGACGGUACCGAAAGAAUAAGCACCGGCUAACUACGUG